RNAcentral lists this transfer RNA (74 nucleotides) under Navicula veneta. RNAcentral's name for it is "tRNA-Pro". Lineage: Eukaryota; Bacillariophyta; Bacillariophyceae; Naviculales; Naviculaceae. The record is from RNAcentral.
UCGGGAUAGUAGGAUUUGAACCUACGACAUCUUGCUCCCAAAGCAAGCGCUCUACCAAGCUGAGCUAUAUCCCG